UGCCACGGAGUGUUUAUGAAGCGGGGAUCGGCGCCUGUGUACCGACGGUAACUAGCACUGGAGGAGCCUGCAAUGUGUGUUUGAAUGUCGGUAACACAGUUCGUUUGCAUCGCUUUCCAGAGUCUCAGUAAGGUGCAGUGCGGCAUUGCGAAUUGACAGCAUUUUGGCGCGUUACAUGAGUGAUUCCGUGCUUCCGUGAUUCCGUACGGUAACGCAUGAACUACGCUCUGUAUUUGGUUCUUGCUUCGCCAGUGGUUAGCCCGUGCGCUUCUAUUUUCUUGUGAGCAGUCCAGGCAAAUGCAGUGUUCGGGAGUGAAACGAUGUGCGUUGUGAACAGUGGUGCUGUGUUGACAUUUCCAAGACUUGUGAAGAGGCUGUGCCCGUGUGACAGAAGAUUAAAAGCGUUGAUAACCGUGUUUCGUCCUACGAAGUUGCGAUGGUGCUUUAUGAGGACUUUAAGGAUUUGGCGCUGGGCUUGGCGCUUUCUUUUUUAACUCGUUGCUUCUCCUUAUUGUGAUAACCGUAAUUCGAACGUCAUAACGUGUCGAAGCGAAUUCGCUCGCCGAGACAUUGUGCUGUAAAUGUGGCUGCUUUGGCAGUAUGCCUUGACUGUUCUCCGGUGAAAACUUGGACUUGUACCUGGCAGCGAAAGCACGUGGACGUCACGCUUCGCUCCGGACAGAACACAAUUCUCACUGGUGCUUUGCCUUGGAUGAAGUCGUAGACCAGCACCUGCUAACUACAGGUUUUCGAGCCCAUCUGUCGUGUCGUUUUGCACGGCACUGGAGCCUUGACUACAGCGGCCCACGGCGAUUUCUCACGCUUCACCAGUGGACGUGCACGUCUUGCUAGCGUUGCAUUUCUACGUCAACGGCAGCUUCCAGUCCACGGACGUCGUUUGCCUGUGGCUGCAGAGCACAUUCCAUUCCCGAUGACGCUGACGGCUGCUAAUAUCGUUGUGCCAUCGAUUGCAGAUUUUCGUAAGGUCGUGGGAUACAUCGAUUGCAAGCACUGGCAAAUCAAGCCACCUUAUGACUUGGAGCACCUGCACAGAAAUAGGAAGGACUUGUGCUCCUUAAAUCUACAAGUCUUUUGCAACGGUGGGGGUGUCAUCAUCCAGCCGACCUCAAAGGGGCCUGGAAGCACGCAUGGCAGCCUCAUCUGGAUGGACUGUGCUCUGCCUGGGAGCUUCAAGGGUAGAAAACUGCAUAAUGGCUGGUUGCUAGGUGACUCUCGCUAUGCCUGAGAGCCAUGGGUGCUCACCCUCCUGUCCGUGUUUGGCCCAGCUGAGCAGCAGUGCAGUGCAGCCCCCACCCAUGCAAGACAAGUCAUACAGUGCACCUUUGGUGUUCUGAGCACGACACAGCGUAUCCGUCCGGCAUGGCAGUGACAUCAACAAUAAUGAUGCAGUAUCACUGGAUCAGGUGCCCCACUGUCAUGUAAUUGCACAGUGUAUCUCGGACAAAACACACAAGGCCAACAAGUAGAGAGCGACUACCAGUGACUGUGUCCUGCUGUUCAAAGUGCACGUCAACAGAAAGAAUGCAUUGUGAUAGUUGGAAUAGCUUGAAUUGUAUGGUGAGAAUCUGCACAGCUGCAGUUUAAUCGUUGAGCAGUGCAUCAUUCAGGAAUUCCUUGCACCUGAGGAUUCAAAAUUAAUUAAAUUCUGCAUUUAAUAUACCAAACCUUCGCGUUAAUGUAAAUCACACUGUAGUGGUAAUGUGCAAAUUAAUUUCGGCUACCUUGAAUUUUUAACAUGCACGUUGCUCAAAGUGCAUGUGUGUCUCCGCAUUUCACUGCCAUUAGAAACAGCAGCCAUGGUCGGCAACCAAAACCGUGUUUUCAUGUUUGGUAGUGCACGAAUGAAACCAUUGAAGCGCGUAGUUUUGCUUUCAGGAUACACGCAUUAUUAUAGCACAAAUGAUUUUAUGUAUAUAUGAGCUCUGGAAAGUCAUUUUCCGCGGAUUAUUUAGAUACAAAAGGAGCGUCACUAUUCCUAGUAUGUCCAACAGGCUUUAGCACCUGUGUAAUGUUAUCCUAUCGCAUGCUUGUCCUCUUCAACGGUCAACCUUUCUGCAUGUAGUGUGUAAGUUUUAAUUUUUUUUUUUCAUAUAGUGUUUGCUGCCAUAGGUUUCUCCAUAAUGUACUUGUAUACUCUGCAAAUAGUUUAUCAUCUAUGCAGCUUUGCUCAUAUUACUGCUGAAAGUAUUUAUUGCUUUUUGUAUGGUGACUAUGCAUGCACUUACUUAUGCCUUUUGAUGCGCCUGUGCAAUGGUUUAGCCUGAAGAGGGCUGCUGGUGUGCUCUAAACUUGAAACUGGCGACUUCGAACAAAUUUGAAGGCUGAUAACCAUUACUACUAUAUUCAGACAAGCUGUGAUAGCUCCAUGAAAAUGUGUUUAAGAUUCUGUAAAUUGUGCCAGGUAAAUGUUCUUAAAUUCCUUUAUUGUUGUCCAUGUUUCAUGCACCUGAAACAUAAUUACUUUGUCGUGGCACAUUAUAAAAUGUUAUUCUGCCCAUUUGUGCUGAUCAACAUUGCAGCUGAGGCCAGCAGCAAGAUAUACAUGCAAGGCACUGAAGCUUCACAUCACAUUCCUUGCCCAGCAGUGCACUGAAAUGUUUUUCAAGCGAAAUGAGAGACUGCUAUACAGCAGUCUCUCAUUUGAAGGAAGUCAGCACAUGUGCACAUUUUGAAACCCUUUUGAGGAGUGUUUUCAGAAGAAGCAAUAGGGUAUUUACAUGUCAACAACAGCAUUAUUUGUACCGAGGAUCUUAGUAACAGUGAAUUGUUUUAUUUAUGUAUUGUCCAGAAUUUGUCCGAGCUGUGCCAAUCUUCCAGCCCACGUCACCUGACAUGGCUUGUUAUAGUGUUGUCAAUAUGCCGGACUAUGUAAAUAAACUAUGUGUCAU
Molecule: long non-coding RNA, 2909 nt
Organism: Rhipicephalus sanguineus (brown dog tick)
Lineage: Eukaryota; Metazoa; Arthropoda; Arachnida; Ixodida; Ixodidae
Exons: 4
Source: RefSeq, a predicted model, not a curated record